GACGAACGCUGGCGGCGUGCCUAAUACAUGCAAGUAGAACGCUGAAGGAGGAGCUUGCUUCUCUGGAUGAGUUGCGAACGGGUGAGUAACGCGUAGGUAACCUGCCUGGUAGCGGGGGAUAACUAUUGGAAACGAUAGCUAAUACCGCAUAAGAGUAGAUGUUGCAUGACAUUUGCUUAAAAGGUGCAAUUGCAUCACUACCAGAUGGACCUGCGUUGUAUUAGCUAGUUGGUGGGGUAACGGCUCACCAAGGCGACGAUACAUGGCCGACCUGAGAGGGUGAUCGGCCACACUGGGACUGAGACACGGCCCAGACUCCUACGGGAGGCAGCAGAAGGGAAUCUUCGGCAAUGGACGGAAGUCUGACCGAGCAACGCCGCGUGAGUGAAGAAGGUUUUCGGAUCGUAAAGCUCUGUUGUAAGAGAAGAACGAGUGUGAGAGUGGAAAGUUCACACUGUGACGGUAUCUUACCAGAAAGGGACGGCUAACUACGUG
This 495-nucleotide ribosomal RNA is filed under the name uncultured bacterium. RNAcentral describes it as "partial 16S ribosomal RNA". It matches the Rfam family "Bacterial small subunit ribosomal RNA", at positions 28 to 507 of the family's 1533-position model. The record is from RNAcentral.